This 61-nucleotide transfer RNA is filed under the name Orthotrichum vermiferum. Its description in RNAcentral is "partial tRNA-Phe". It matches the Rfam family "tRNA", at positions 1 to 59 of the family's 71-position model. Rfam says of the family: Transfer RNA (tRNA) molecules are approximately 80 nucleotides in length. Their secondary structure includes four short double-helical elements and three loops (D, anti-codon, and T loops). Further hydrogen bonds mediate the characteristic L-shaped molecular structure. tRNAs have two regions of fundamental functional importance: the anti-codon, which is responsible for specific mRNA codon recognition, and the 3' end, to which the tRNAs corresponding amino acid is attached (by aminoacyl-tRNA synthetases). tRNAs cope with the degeneracy of the genetic code in two manners: having more than one tRNA (with a specific anti-codon) for a particular amino acid; and 'wobble' base-pairing, i.e. permitting non-standard base-pairing at the 3rd anti-codon position. The record is from RNAcentral. Lineage: Eukaryota; Viridiplantae; Streptophyta; Bryopsida; Orthotrichales; Orthotrichaceae.
GCCGGAAUAGCUCAUUUGGUAGAGCAAAGGACUGAAAAUCCUCGUGUCACCAGUUCAAAUA